This 254-nucleotide ribosomal RNA is filed under the name uncultured bacterium. Its description in RNAcentral is "partial 16S ribosomal RNA". It matches the Rfam family "Bacterial small subunit ribosomal RNA", at positions 524 to 776 of the family's 1533-position model. The record is from RNAcentral.
GACGUAGGAGGCGAGCGUUGUCCGGAGUCACUGGGCGUAAAGGGCGCGCAGGCGGUUGCAUUGGCCAUUUCGUGAAAGCCCCCGGCUCAACCGGGCGGUUGCGGGUGGGACCGUGCGACUGGAGGGUGCUAGGGGCCAGUGGAAUUCCCGGUGUAGUGGUGAAAUGCGUAGAUACCGGGAGGAACACCCGCAGCGAAGGCGGCUGGCUGGGGCAUUCCUGACGCUGAGGCGCGAAGACUCGGGGAGCGAACGGG